AUGGCGGAUGGUGGGGGAUCUCAGAGGGAGAAGGGGAAGGAGACGGCGGAGGAACUAUUAGCCCGCCUCACUUUGCAGGAGGAAGAAGAUGAGGAUUUUGUGUGGGAAGAGGAGCUCCCAGAUAUGAUGGAGUCGGCGAGGUGGCUGGCGAUUGUGAGGGUUCAUAUAGCAAAAACUUUUAGCCCUAACGCACUGUAUGGAGAUAUGAGGGCAGCCUGGAAUCGGGCCAAGACGGUAGUUUGGAGGAAGAUCAAGGAGAACUUGUUUACGGCGCAGCGGUUGUCUUGCAGAUUGGAAGAAAGCGAUGCUGGAUGGUCCAUGGCUGUUCAGGGAUCAGGCAGUGAUCUUGGAGGAGUAUGA
Molecule: ribosomal RNA, 360 nt
Filed under: Triticum aestivum (bread wheat)
Lineage: Eukaryota; Viridiplantae; Streptophyta; Magnoliopsida; Poales; Poaceae
Description: partial small subunit ribosomal RNA
Source: RNAcentral